RNAcentral lists this ribosomal RNA (504 nucleotides) under uncultured bacterium. RNAcentral describes it as "partial 16S ribosomal RNA". It matches the Rfam family "Bacterial small subunit ribosomal RNA", at positions 29 to 523 of the family's 1533-position model. The record is from RNAcentral.
AUUGAACGCUGGCGGCAGGCCUAACACAUGCAAGUCGAACGGUAGCACAGAGAGCUUGCUCUCGGGUGACGAGUGGCGGACGGGUGAGUAACGUCUGGGAAACUGCCCGAUGGAGGGGGAUAACUACUGGAAACGGUAGCUAAUACCGCAUAACGUCGCAAGACCAAAGUGGGGGACCUUCGGGCCUCACACCAUCGGAUGUGCCCAGAUGGGAUUAGCUAGUAGGUGGGGUAAUGGCUCACCUAGGCGACGAUCCCUAGCUGGUCUGAGAGGAUGACCAGCCACACUGGAACUGAGACACGGUCCAGACUCCUACGGGAGGCAGCAGUGGGGAAUAUUGCACAAUGGGCGCAAGCCUGAUGCAGCCAUGCCGCGUGUAUGAAGAAGGCCUUCGGGUUGUAAAGUACUUUCAGCGGGGAGGAAGGCGGUGAAGUUAACAGCUUCACCGAUUGACGUUACCCGCAGAAGAAGCACCGGCUAACUCCGUGCCAGCAGCCGCGGUAA